UAUGUUCACUCAUCUACUAUCAAGAGAGGUUUUCUCACAUCCAUCCAGUAUAGAAAAAGAGUUUAGUACAAGAAUGUCAUAUUUACUUUGAUAUGCUGCCACUGUAAACCUUUCAACAUUUUCAAAGGACACUCCAUAUGCAUGGAAUGCCCUUCCCUAAGCAACUCUGAACAGUUUCCCAAGAUAGAUAAGGUAAAGGGGCUACUGGAAAUUGAACAUAAAGGUUCAUGGGGAAAGCUGCAAGCCAUAAAGAUGAGAUCCCAGGAUACCUGGUUCCCCUAUAAUGGACAUUGACUUACUAACUCUGGACUGAUGCUGAAAGAUUCAUCUGUAACUAUAAAGCUCAACAACUCUAGAAAUCUGAUCACAGAACUUUACUCAUGUCUGUGGGUUUUUUUAAAAUUCCUAUAGCCAAUUUCAACUCACUUUCCGUUUUCUCAAAAAACCUGUUCGAUUUUAGAUACUAGUGUUUUGGAUGGUGUUAUAAAAGACUGGAAUAGCCUUCCUUUCUGACUUCUUGUU
Molecule: long non-coding RNA, 522 nt
Organism: Pelodiscus sinensis (Chinese soft-shelled turtle)
Lineage: Eukaryota; Metazoa; Chordata; Testudines; Trionychidae
Source: RefSeq, a predicted model, not a curated record